This 502-nucleotide ribosomal RNA is filed under the name uncultured bacterium. RNAcentral's name for it is "partial 16S ribosomal RNA". It matches the Rfam family "Bacterial small subunit ribosomal RNA", at positions 29 to 507 of the family's 1533-position model. The record is from RNAcentral.
AGCGAACGCUGGCGGCGUGCCUAACACAUGCAAGUCGAACGUGAAAGGGGGCAAUCCCAAGUAAAGUGGCGUACGGGUGAGUAACACGUAGGUAAUCUACCCCAGAAUCUGGAAUAACCGGCCGAAAGGCUGGCUAAUACUGGAUAGAGCGACGGAAUCCGUAAUUGGGUUUUUCGGGAAAGGGAGCCUGUAAAAAGGCCUUCGUUCUGGGAUGAGCCUGCGUCCCAUCAGCUAGUUGGUGAGGUAAAAGCUUACCAAGGCAAUGACGGGUAGCUGGUCUGAGAGGACGAUCAGCCACACUGGAACUGAAACACGGUCCAGACUCCUACGGGAGGCAGCAGUGGGGAAUCUUGCGCAAUGGACGAAAGUCUGACGCAGCAACGCCGCGUGAGUGAAGAAGGCCUUCGGGUUGUAAAGCUCUGUCGAGUGGGACGAAAAUGCUUGGAGUUCACAGCUCCAGGAACUGACGGUACCACUAAAGGAAGCACCGGCUAACUCCGUG